GACGAACGCUGGCGGCGUGCUUAACACAUGCCAGUCGAACGGAAAGGCCCUGCUUUUGUGGGGUGCUCGAGUGGCGAACGGGUGAGUAACACGUUAUUAACCUGCCCUUGACUUUGGGAUAACUUCAGGAAACUGGGGCUAAUACCGGAUAGGAGCUCCUGCUGCAUGGUGGGGGUUGGAAAGUUUCGGCGGUUGGGGAUGGACUCGCGGCUUAUCAGCUUGUUGGUGGGGUAGUGGCUUACCAAGGCUUUGACGGGUAGCCGGCCUGAGAGGGUGACCGGCCACAUUGGGACUGAGAUACGGCCCAGACUCCUACGGGAGGCAGCAGUGGGGAAUAUUGCACAAUGGGCGGAAGCCUGAUGCAGCAACGCCGCGUGCGGGAUGACGGCCUUCGGGUUGUAAACCGCUUUCGCCUGUGACGAAGCGUGAGUGACGGUAAUGGGUAAAGAAGCACCGGCUAACUACGUG
Molecule: ribosomal RNA, 468 nt
Filed under: uncultured bacterium
Lineage: Bacteria
Description: partial 16S ribosomal RNA
Rfam family: Bacterial small subunit ribosomal RNA
Source: RNAcentral